UCGACGGUGAGGGGUGAAAGCUGGGGGAGCAAACCGGAUUAGAUACCCGGGUAGUCCCAGCUGUAAACUAUGCAAACUCAGUGAUGCAUUGGCUUGUGGCCAAUGCAGUGCUGCAGGGAAGCCGUUAAGUUUGCCGCCUGGGAAGUACGUACGCAAGUAUGAAACUUAAAGGAAUUGGCGGGGGAGCACCACAAGGGGUGAAGCCUGCGGUUCAAUUGGAGUCAACGCCAGAAAUCUUACCCGGAGAGACAGCAGAAUGAAGGUCAAGCUGAAGACUUUACCAGACAAGCUGAGAGGUGGUGCAUGGCCGUCGCCAGCUCGUGCCGUGAGAUGUCCUGUUAAGUCAGGUAACGAGCGAGAUCCCUGCCUCUAGUUGCCACCAUUACUCUCAGGAGUAGUGGGGCGAAUUAGCGGGACCGCCGCAGUUAAUGCGGAGGAAGGAAGGGGCCACGGCAGGUCAGUAUGCCCCGAAACUCUGGGGCCACACGCGGGCUGCAAUGGUAGCGACAAUUGGUUUCGAAUCCGAAAGGAUGAGGUAAUCCACAAACGCUACCACAGUUAUGACUGAGGGCUGCAACUCGCCCUCACGAAUAUGGAAUCCCUAGUAACUGCGUGUCAUUAUCGCGCGGUGAAUACGUCCCUGCUCCUUGCACACACCGCCCU
This 663-nucleotide ribosomal RNA is filed under the name uncultured archaeon. RNAcentral's name for it is "bacterial SSU rRNA". It matches the Rfam family "Archaeal small subunit ribosomal RNA", at positions 691 to 1352 of the family's 1478-position model. The record is from RNAcentral.